This 1506-nucleotide ribosomal RNA is filed under the name metagenome. RNAcentral's name for it is "bacterial SSU rRNA". It matches the Rfam family "Bacterial small subunit ribosomal RNA". The record is from RNAcentral.
AGAGUUUGAUCCUGGCUCAGGACGAACGCUGGCGGCGUGCCUAAUACAUGCAAGUAGAACGCUGAAGAGAGGAGCUUGCUCUUCUUGGAUGAGUUGCGAACGGGUGAGUAACGCGUAGGUAACCUGCCUUGUAGCGGGGGAUAACUAUUGGAAACGAUAGCUAAUACCGCAUAACAAUGGAUGACCCAUGUCAUUUAUUUGAAAGGGGAAAAUGCUCCACUACAAGAUGGACCUGCGUUGUAUUAGCUAGUAGGUGAGGUAACGGCUCACCUAGGCGACGAUACAUAGCCGACCUGAGAGGGUGAUCGGCCACACUGGGACUGAGACACGGCCCAGACUCCUACGGGAGGCAGCAGUAGGGAAUCUUCGGCAAUGGGGGCAACCCUGACCGAGCAACGCCGCGUGAGUGAAGAAGGUUUUCGGAUCGUAAAGCUCUGUUGUAAGUCAAGAACGAGUGUGAGAGUGGAAAGUUCACACUGUGACGGUAGCUUACCAGAAAGGGACGGCUAACUACGUGCCAGCAGCCGCGGUAAUACGUAGGUCCCGAGCGUUGUCCGGAUUUAUUGGGCGUAAAGCGAGCGCAGGCGGUUUGAUAAGUCUGAAGUUAAAGGCUGUGGCUCAACCAUAGUUCGCUUUGGAAACUGUCAAACUUGAGUGCAGAAGGGGAGAGUGGAAUUCCAUGUGUAGCGGUGAAAUGCGUAGAUAUAUGGAGGAACACCGGUGGCGAAAGCGGCUCUCUGGUCUGUAACUGACGCUGAGGCUCGAAAGCGUGGGGAGCGAACAGGAUUAGAUACCCUGGUAGUCCACGCCGUAAACGAUGAGUGCUAGGUGUUGGAUCCUUUCCGGGAUUCAGUGCCGCAGCUAACGCAUUAAGCACUCCGCCUGGGGAGUACGACCGCAAGGUUGAAACUCAAAGGAAUUGACGGGGGCCCGCACAAGCGGUGAAGCAUGUGGUUUAAUUCGAAGCAACGCGAAGAACCUUACCAGGUCUUGACAUCCCGAUGCUAUUUCUAGAGAUAGAAAGUUACUUCGGUACAUCGGUGACAGGUUGUGCAUGGUUGUCGUCAGCUCGUGUCGUGAGAUGUUGGGUUAAGUCCCGCAACGAGCGCAACCCCUAUUGUUAGUUGCCAUCAUUCAGUUGGGCACUCUAGCGAGACUGCCGGUAAUAAACCGGAGGAAGGUGGGGAUGACGUCAAAUCAUCAUGCCCCUUAUGACCUGGGCUACACACGUGCUACAAUGGUUGGUACAACGAGUUGCGAGUCGGUGACGGCAAGCUAAUCUCUUAAAGCCAAUCUCAGUUCGGAUUGUAGGCUGCAACUCGCCUACAUGAAGUCGGAAUCGCUAGUAAUCGCGGAUCAGCACGCCGCGGUGAAUACGUUCCCGGGCCUUGUACACACCGCCCGUCACACCACGAGAGUUUGUAACACCCGAAGUCGGUGAGGUAACCUUUUGGAGCCAGCCGCCUAAGGUGGGAUAGAUGAUUGGGGUGAAGUCGUAACAAGGUA